CUUCUGUUUGCGUAAUUAAUGAUAUGCUAAUAUCUUUUCUUCUCCUUAUCUCCCAAACAGGGUUUUUUUUUAAGGGGAAGAAGAAAUGUUUUCCUCUGUGGACCAGCCUGGAAAUACAUGCUGUUGGCAAGGACAAGGAGCCCAAAUGUGAAAACAGUUUUGUGACAUCCAGCUAAUACAGCAACAUGGAGAUGGAGCUCAAGAGGAGAACCCUGAUCAUUGUUUAUAAUAAAUGUGAAACAAAUAAACAGCUAUUGGAGGACAAACAGGUCAAUGAGAGCCUGGUGGAGGUUUCAGGAGAGAGAGAAGGAAGUGGAUGUUUUGUGAUAAAGCAUCACGCUAAGGAAGAUGACAAAAGACAGAUAACAACAAGUCUGUCAGAAACUGAUGAGAAUUUCAUCAAGGCUGAAGAAGUCAGUCAAGAUAAACAUUCCCUUGAAAUAUCCUGA
RNAcentral lists this long non-coding RNA (449 nucleotides) under Parus major (Great Tit). RNAcentral describes it as "lncRNA (ENSPMJG00000002406.1)". Lineage: Eukaryota; Metazoa; Chordata; Aves; Passeriformes; Paridae. The record is from RNAcentral.